CCUUUUAGAAGAGAUGUUCUUUCUUUUUCAAGGAACGCCUGUCGAAAUGCAUCAAAUGCCUAGUCAGCAACUAGUGAUCCUGUAUGUGCUUCUUGGGAUUCUCCAAAUACUCCAUCAGUGUAUCCUCUCCCCAGGUGAUGCCUUUGUUCUUACUGGCAACCGUGUAAGAGUAUCCAGCGGCCUGACCUGUCUUCCGCCCGAAGAGGCCUUGGAGAUUUGGCCCAGUCUUGUGCUUGCCUCCCUUUUCAACGGUGUGGCACUGGGAACACUUCAUAAUAAAAAUCUUCUUGCCUUUCUCAACAUCACCCAUAUUUAAUUCUCCUUUUAGUCGCUGGCGCAGCGAAGAUUCC
Molecule: long non-coding RNA, 350 nt
Filed under: Homo sapiens (human)
Lineage: Eukaryota; Metazoa; Chordata; Mammalia; Primates; Hominidae
Description: non-protein coding lnc-PDZD4-3:1
Source: RNAcentral